Molecule: ribosomal RNA, 789 nt
Filed under: uncultured Staphylococcus sp.
Lineage: Bacteria; Bacillati; Bacillota; Bacilli; Caryophanales; Staphylococcaceae
Description: bacterial SSU rRNA
Rfam family: Bacterial small subunit ribosomal RNA
Source: RNAcentral
UAUAAGACUGGGAUAACUUCGGGAAACCGGAGCUAAUACCGGAUAAUAUAUUGAACCGCAUGGUUCAAUAGUGAAAGACGGUUUUGCUGUCACUUAUAGAUGGAUCCGCGCCGCAUUAGCUAGUUGGUAAGGUAACGGCUUACCAAGGCAACGAUGCGUAGCCGACCUGAGAGGGAGAUCGGCCACACUGGAACUGAGACACGGUCCAGACUCCUACGGGAGGCAGCAGUAGGGAAUCUUCCGCAAUGGGCGAAAGCCUGACGGAGCAACGCCGCGUGAGUGAUGAAGGUCUUCGGAUCGUAAAACUCUGUUAUUAGGGAAGAACAAAUGUGUAAGUAACUAUGCACGUCUUGACGGUACCUAAUCAGAAAGCCACGGCUAACUACGUGCCAGCAGCCGCGGUAAUACGUAGGUGGCAAGCGUUAUCCGGAAUUAUUGGGCGUAAAGCGCGCGUAGGCGGUUUUUUAAGUCUGAUGUGAAAGCCCACGGCUCAACCGUGGAGGGUCAUUGGAAACUGGAAAACUUGAGUGCAGAAGAGGAAAGUGGAAUUCCAUGUGUAGCGGUGAAAUGCGCAGAGAUAUGGAGGAACACCAGUGGCGAAGGCGACUUUCUGGUCUGUAACUGACGCUGAUGUGCGAAAGCGUGGGGAUCAAACAGGAUUAGAUACCCUGGUAGUCCACGCCGUAAACGAUGAGUGCUAAGUGUUAGGGGGUUUCCGCCCCUUAGUGCUGCAGCUAACGCAUUAAGCACUCCGCCUGGGGAGUACGACCGCAAGGUUGAAACUCAAAG